Molecule: small nucleolar RNA, 139 nt
Organism: Phragmites australis (common reed)
Lineage: Eukaryota; Viridiplantae; Streptophyta; Magnoliopsida; Poales; Poaceae
Product: small nucleolar RNA Z247
Exons: 1
Source: RefSeq, a predicted model, not a curated record
CCACUUGAGCUCGAGGAGAUCAUCUCCUACAUGCUGCGUGGACUAGACCCUGAAUACGACCCACUAGUGACCAGCAUCACCACACGUGCUGAUACGGUCAUGGUGAGUGACCUUUAUGCCCACGUGUUGAGCUUUGAGU